CCUACGGGGGGCUGCAGUCGAGAAUCAUUCACAAUGGGGGAAACCCUGAUGGGGCGACGCCGCGUGGGGGAAUGAAGGUCUGCGGAUGGUAAACCCCUGUCAUGUGGGAGCAAAUUAAAAAGAUAGUACCACAAGAGGAAGAGACGGCUAACUCUGUGCCAGCAGCCGCGGUAAUACAGAGGGCUCAAGCGUUGUUCGGAAUCACUGGGCGUAAUGUGUGCGUAGGCUGUUUCGUAAGUCGUGUGUGAAAGGCGCGGGCUCAACCCGCGGACGGCACCUGAUACUGCGAGACUAGAGUAAUGGAGGGGGAACCGGAAUUCUCGGUGUAGCCGUGAAAUGCGUAGAUAUCGGGAGGAACACUCGUGGCGAAGGCGGGUUCCUGGACAUUAACUGACGCUGAGGCACGAAAGCCAGGGGAGCGAAAAGGAUUAGAUACCCCAGUAGUC
Molecule: ribosomal RNA, 446 nt
Filed under: uncultured bacterium
Lineage: Bacteria
Description: partial 16S ribosomal RNA
Rfam family: Bacterial small subunit ribosomal RNA
Source: RNAcentral